UCGAGUUGCAGGGAGAGAACACAUACACAAGCAGAACAAAAGUAAAAAGGGAAAUAAAAUGAACCUGGCACGAAACCAUGUUGUAUGAUAAAAGGGAGUUAGCUUGUUUAGGCCUUGCCAGACUCCUCGCAGCCUGGUGGCUUGAAGGCGAUGAAGCUGACGCACUGCACCUGACGCAUGUUGUCGAAUCCGAUGAUGCGGACAUAGGCGUCAGGGUACUCCUUCUUGACCUCCUCCACUUCGUUUAACACCUGUGUGGCGUCGGUGCACCCAAACAUAGGUAGCUUCCACAUUGUCCAGUAUCGGCCAUCGUAAUACCCUGGAGAGGCAUUGUGCUCACGGAAGAUGAAUCCAACCUUGCUGAACUCGAGACAAGGCACCCACUUGGAGCGGAUCAGGUAGUCGACCUGCUUCAGGAGUGCCUCCGUGGAGAGCGGUGGCAAGUAAGACAAAGUCUCGAACUUCUUGAUGCCUUCAAUCGGCCAGACCUGAAUUGUUCACAGAAUUUAGUUUGUCCUCCGUUAGUCAGCUCGAUGGAAUGGGCUGGGAAGUAAAAUCUUUUGUCUUCGGUCUAGUGACCAUACCUGCAUGCACCGGAUUCUUCCGCCGUUGCUGACGCUGCCGAGGCCAGCCGCGUUGCCGGAGAGGCGGCUGACUGGGAGACCAGCUGUGGACUUGAGUCCCUGGAAGGGUGCUACGGCGGUGGCUGCCGACGACAUGACAGUGGGAGCCAUCGUUGAUAGCUAAUAGGAGAGGCAGGCUUUACUUGAGACUGUGCGGUGGGUCGGCGACGAUGGCUUGUAUAAACCGUAGGCUCCCACCCAUUCCAUUAUCUGCACAAGAUCUGGGAGGAGUGGCUGCUGUUAGCCUCGGAGAUUAUCCCCGGCUACGGUGCCAUCCUGUAGAUCGGAUCAAGCGCCAUGUGGCAACGUGCCUUAUCCCGUGGACCUACGUUCUACCCUGUCCAUGCGUGGCUGAUCCUUUGCAAAUGAGAAUGUACUUUUUUUCGCGAUAUUCACCACACAUCUGAUAUAAUGGACAAUAACCAUAUGACCCUAUGUGGUAUACUUAGGAGACAUCCCACACGAUUGACACAAUCGGACGCAGCUACUUCAUGUCACACGUCUAACAAUUACUCCCUCCGCUCUUUAAUAUAAGUCUUUUUAGAGAUUUUUCUAGAAGACUACAUAUGAAUGUAUAUAGAUAUAUUUUAAAAUGUAUAUUUACUCAUUUUACUUUAUAAGUAGUCACUUAAUGAAAUCACUAAAAUACUUAUAUUUAGGAAAUGAGGGAAUACUCAUUCCCAUCCCUUUUGUAUGCCACGGAGCAAUUUCGCCUUGACAUUUCUUGGUGACAACUUUAGUUACUUGAGGAUGGUAACUUUAGUUGUAAAACAUCACAACUUCUCUGUUUUAAUUAAUUAUAGUUGUCAUGCUUAAUUAACGAUAGUUACCACGUGUGGCCAAAUUAUAAUUGUCAUGUAUGAUCAACCAUGGUUGUCAUGUGUGAUUAACUAGCUAUCACGUGUAGUUCAACCAUAAUUGUCAUGUAUGGUCAAUCAUAUUUGCAAUAUGUGAUUAGCCAGUUGCCACAUAUGCACAACUGUAGUUGUCAUCUAUCACAAUACGAGCAUCGUAUGGGUGAAGAGUAGUUCACCCGCACAACGUGGACUAGAUGGUGUCUGUGUAAGCGAGUACCGAUUCACCUGCACGACGAAGCUAUCAAUCACGCGUGCAAGGCCGUUUGGAAAAGCGCUCUAACCACUUACACACCACAAUAUGCCUACGUGUGAAAUUCUAAUAGACCCCUGCAAGAUUCGUGCAAUCGAGAACCAACGAUAAUAAAUGCGUAUGGACCAAGUAUUGAAAUACCACACGUAUGGAUAUUAUUAUUUGUUUUUUAUGUCAGUAAAUAAGGAUGCUCGUAUACAAGGCAUACACACACACCAAUGAGAAUUUCUAAAUAUAUUUUUAUCUAUAAUAUUAUUUUUUAGGGAUGUAAUGACUCCUUAUUCAAAUAAUUCAUAGCAAUCGUUACAUGAUCAUUUGCUUGAAAGAAACCAAACAUGUCUACCUAAGUUUAGAGAAAGUAAAAAAAUUUGGCUAAACUAUAUGCUUCAUUAUUCUUGUCUAACUUUCAUGUACUUUCAACAAAUUAUGUUGCUCUAGCCUUGACCUCGUUUAUAAUAGCAACAUAUCUUUCUCCUUCAAUCAUUUUGAGGUCCUUAUCACAGUGGCACAAUGAGAUGAAAUAAUAAAUUGUGAUGCUUGGAGAUCAUGUGUGAGCACCAUCACCUCGCGACAACAAGUGUUUUUUGAAUUGGUGCACUAGUGAUUCCCGGGAAAGUAAUGGAUUAAGAUCUCACUUAGUUACCAUGUUCGUAGCGACAAACUACCACUGUUGAAACUCGAUCGCUGUUUUUAGAGAACCAGAUGGGGGUCUAAUCCAAGGUUCCUAACAAAACUUGGACUCGCGCACCUACUCUAUUGUCUUUUUUUUGAAGAGAUGGUAUCUAGCUGUGAAAAGAACUUCGUAAUUAACAAGCGGGUUGAUCAAGGUGAUUGGAAUUCUUGUUCUUGCCUUUCAUCUCGUGGACCAUACUGCCCACAAGGUGAUUACUAUCUCCACAUAGUGCUCAUGUGAUAAUGAGUCUAGCAUAGCCAAGAGACACAUUUUUGCAUUUGGUAUCCUUGUUUCCAUCAAGUGUUGGAGCAUCUCCUCAAUGGCCCCAAGCACAUCUUGUAUAAUGCCCAAUAUGCGAUCCUAUCCUUGUUUUUUUUGGUACGAAGGCCUCGACGGGGGUAGAAUCUCAUCUCGUCGUUUUACAAGAAUGGAUAUCGUUACAAGUACAUGUACAGAAGGGACGAGUAUAUGGAAUUGGCUUACAAUCGCCACAAGCUACAUCAUGAGAAUCUCAAUACAACAAUACAUCCAAUCAUCAUGUAGAAGAGCAGGGCAUGUCUACGGAUGAAAACAAACGAUAAAAGAACGACGUCCAUCCUUUCUAUCCCAAGCUACUGGCCUGAAACCCAUCCUAUGAUCGAUGAAGAAGAAGAAGAAACUCGAAAUAGAACAAUCAUCGCGCUCACGUUGAAGUAUCGCUUUACCGGUACCUGCAACUAUUGUUUUAGUAAUCUGUGAGUCACAUGGACUCAGCAAUCUCAUCUUUAAAGGUAUCAAGACUAGCAAAGCUUAAUGGGUGAGGUAUGGUUAUGUGGUUAGGUUGCAACAAGGAAAUAAGCAUUUAUAUGAGUGGCUAACUUACGAGUAGAAGAAAUAAGAGAAGAGAUAAUCUACGCAUAACGAACGUGAACUAAUAAUGAUCUCAAAGUGAUUCUGAACACCUACUUACGUCAAACAUAAACCAACCGUGUUCUCUUUAAUAUGCAUAACUCACGAGAAGAGACAUUCACGGUUACGCACACAGUUGGCAAGUUUUAAGUUUACUUCAAGUUGUCUAGAACCAGAUGUUAAACAAAGUUUCCAAGUUGCCAGAUAACCACGGGCACGACUUUCCAAGGGAUAUAACCCUCGAGGGCUUCUCCAACUAGUCCAUCACAAACUACCACAAGCUGCGUCGGAAACCUAGACUACGGAAAAACCGUGAUCUCCUCGGGUUCCUGGUGGAAAAACUCAAGUUCGAGAUAGCCCAAAUUAUCCUCGGAAUCCCUUGUAGAAGACAUUCGAGAAAGGUCAAAGAAAUCCACCAAGGCCGCCCGACGAGUCUACGAUGCCGAUAGGAGCCGCGUAUCUCGUUCUCCGGACACGAUGGAUGAGCACUACGUACGGUGGCCGGAUAGACAUCCCCCGAGUUCGGCCCAGCUAGUGGCUCUAGUUUGGACCAACACUCAUGAGAAGCACUGGCCCGGGGGUUGAUUAAUUAUCCACAGGGUCGUGAAAGUCCCUAUGCAAUUUUAUUAGGUUAUUAGGCAAAAUGUAGUACCAAUGCUGGGCCUUGCCAGAUGAGUUUUAUCCCAAAAUGAAAAUCUAGGGGGUCUCCAUAAGAACCCCAAGCAUGUUAGGAGCGCUCAAUUAUGGAACAUAACACCGGUAGCCGAAACUAAGGCAGCAAAAGCGGAACAAAACACCCAACCAAAAGACUAAGCCUUCCGCCUUCUACCAAGUAUAUAGGUGCAUUAAAUUAAAUAACAAUAAUAUUAUGAUAUAACAAGGAACCCAUGUUUUUUUCAUGGAAGCAAUUGUACCUGCAACUAGCAAUGCUAUCAAAAGGCUGAGUAAGCCGUAACAUAGCCAACCAGUGGUUUGCUUGGUUGAGGAAUGGUUAGAGGGUUUUCAUGACAAAGUUUGGAGGAUGACAUUUAAGUGGUAGGCAGCGAGACAUAGCGAAAUAAACGAUAUAACUAGCAUGGAAAUUAUAGUAAUUGUAUCUAGGGAAGUGGUCAUCUUGCCUGUGAUCCCGCUUGGAAGAAGAACGAAUCCGUGAAGCAGGUGAAGCAAUGUAGCCGAACGAAUCCUCACAUUCCAAAGCUGUUUAGAACUCUAUCGAGGAAAAAACAAUCCGGAACAACAAUCAACACACGAUAACACCACACAUAUUCAUGACAAGAUGCACAAUAAAAUAUGAUGCAUGGCAAUUUCAAUUUAUGCAAGCAUGGAAAAGCACAACAAAUAAUACUACACAUUAAAUGAAGCUCAAUAUGCAACAAGUUGCAUAUUGAAAAACUCCAUACUUGAAUUAUUUAGUUCACUCUCAUUUAGGUACACGACAAUAUUAAAUGUUGUUAAACAUGGCAAGAGGUGAAGCAUAAAUAAACUACACUAUCUAGGCAUUUUAAAUGAGCUCAGAAACAACAUAUAGCAUCUCCGAAAUGACCCCAUGUGUUAAUUUUGAAAUCUGUCUAGAUCUGAACUAAGCAUGUUUUAAGUUUAUUAAACAGCAAAAUAAAGUGGACUACGUGACUCUACAUGUCAUUCUAGUCAAUUUACAUAUAUAGAUCAUUUGAAAUGGAGCUACGGUCUAAAAGAUAUGAUCAUCACACGAUAAUAUGAUAUUGAUGCAAAAUGCAUGCAAAUGACAUCCACAACAUGUUAAACGUGGAUGCGACAGUAUAUUAUGGAACUACCAAAAUUCUAAGCAAGUUUAAAUUAGGCCUGAAUAACGAACAACAAUUCCGGAAAGUCCAUAUAUGUAAUUUCUAAAUUUGCUACAGAUCUGUGUAAACACAAUUUUAGAUUUGUUAAACAGGAAAAUAAAUGUUACCAUGUUAUUCUACAACUUUUUCUAGCCAAGUUACAUAUGUGGAACAUUUUAAUUGGAGCUACGGUUAAUUAGUUAUGACAUAAACCAUUUCCACAUGGCAUUUUUGCAAAUUAAUUAAAACAACAAGUUAAACAUGUUAGACACAUGUGAGAGUUGCAUAUUGUAAACCUACACAGAAUUCUAAGCAUUUUUUAUGUAUGAAGUUUUUAAAUCCGACGCACGAUUAUUUAGCUAUGAAUUAAUUCAUUUUAAUAUGACAUCCACGCAAAUUUAAUUAAACAACAAGUUUAAAUGUUUUGAACAUGUGUGAAAGGGACAUAUUAUCAAUCUACACAAAAUUCUAUACAUUUUACAUAUUUAAAAUAUUUUUAUCCGAUGCACGGUUAAUUUGUUCUUAACAUUUUAAAGUGAGAACAUAAUCUCUAAUUAUAACAUACACCGAAUAGUUAGCAUUAUCAGAGACGCAAAAAAACAACAACAUGCCGAAUCUGGCUACGGGCCAAAACAACCAGUGGGCACAGGAUAACUGUGCGAGACAGUAGGCGGGUUAUAUAUAGGGAUUGGGCUAUGGUGGGUUGGACCUUGUCCGUCCGGUCGUAAUUCGAUGACCACGAACGGAGGGAGGGGUUAGGUCGGUCUAGUGGGCUGUGUAGAUGGGCUAGGUUCGGAUGAGAGGGAAGUGGUGCAUCCCAUGACAAAAUUUUAAAAGGCAAAAACGCCCGAUAUUUAAACUGACGCCGGUGGCACUAAGGUCGAGCGUUUGGGUAUCAAACAAACUCCGAUUGCGACGAAAUUUGGCAGGCGGUCUACCUACAUUAAAAUAGAACCGCACGCCAUGUUUCAAACCAAUCUGAGAGAGUUUUGCAUACGAUUUAAAAAAUAAUAUUUUUAAUAAUGUCACGGGCGCGUGUGCGUAUGAUUGGCCUCGAAACGGUCAAUGACAAAAACGGACAGAACUGACAACUAAUAACGGAUGCAAGUUUUGAAAAAUGACGGGAAUGGAGUGCCGAUGCAAUGCGGAUGAUGCGAAUGAUGCGAUGAUGAAUGCAGAAACCAAACAAAUCACAUGACAACAAUGCAGUAAAAGGGGAAUCUUCUAGAACGUUGGUUCCGGGCUGUUACAUCUUGCCGAGUAGCGUUCCACCAAAGCAUGACACCAAGAAUCUUCAGAAUCACACACACGGAAGCAAUAUGUACCUGCCAUAUUUCCUUGCUCCAAAACAUCAAAGGCUUGGUUUGAGUGUUGGGCCAAACGUUCCGCAAAAUCCUUGAGUUUCAACAGAAUAGUAGUGCCCCAUAACUUCGUCCAUUGCUUAACCACCGAAACCAUAUCUGAUGAGGCCAUACCAUGAUACAACCAUCCAUCCUAGUGCAUCUUAGUGUUAAAAAUCGUGGUGGCGAUGUUCCUCUCAAAUGCCAAGGACAAAAAAUAGACAUAUAUUUUGUGCAUAAAUGAAUACCCAGAAUAGCACAUUCAUCCAUCGGUAAAAAGGAGGCCCAAACCAAACCCUUGCGCCAAGUCGCCGAUGUCCUAUCUAUUAAUUCAGGUACCAAGAAAACCCCAUGUUGUGUGGUGGUGAUUUUCCUCACUGUACUUUCUCCUGGAAUCAAAUUAUGAUUCCAAAUUUCAGUUGUGGAUCAAUCUCCUAUGUGGCGAAUAAGGCGAUGGAUCAUAAAAGUUGGACCUUCAACUACUGAUCUCCAAAUAUUUGAUGGGUGAACCCUAGGGUUGCAAAUAAUAUAGAUAUAUAAAAAAAUAUCGAUUUAAGCAAUUUUGCACUCAGGGUGUGUGGGUCCAUAAGAAUUCUCCAUGUCUAGCAAGCCAAAAGAGCCAAGCUAAAUAACUCCAAAUCUCUAAAUCCCAAACGUCAGAAAAAAGGACUAGAACUUCCGCGCCGCCGCUGCAAGUCGUUGUUCUAAAGAGAUCCCAUUCGGAGCCCUUUUUUGGCUUCCUGUGGGAGGGGAAAUCUUUAGGGGAGACCAUAUUCAUGAUCCCGGCGAUCUCUAUGAUGAGGGGGGAGUAGUUCACCCUGAGGGUUGAGGGUAUGUACUAGUAGUUAUGUGUGUGAUCUCUCUAUCUCGUGUUCUUGAUUUGGCACGAUCUUGAAGUACCACGAGCUUUGUUAAUAUAGUUGGAUCAUAUACUGUUCUUCCCUCUCUAUCUUCUAAUGAAUUGACUCUCUCCCUAUGAGAUUUCGUUAUGUGGGAUUAAACACUUGGGAUUUGAGAACACUAGAUGUACUUGUUGUAUGCGGUACCCCUGGUGACAAUGGGGUAUUAUAUUGCAUCACUUGAUAUAUGUUUUGGUAAUCAACUUGUGGAUUCCCGUGGUGACAUUGGGGUAAUGUAGGCACAUGGGUUGAUACAUGUUUUCAUCCUAAUUUCUCCUAUAGAUACUUUGGGGUAAUCUUUGAGGUUCUUUGUGUGGAUUUAAUAUUAUGAAUCUAAAAUUGUUUGGUGUUAUUUAGUAGGAAUGCUAGGGUUUUUUGUGAUACAUUAGGUAUUUCUCAAUAGAGUGAUGGAAAAGACAACUAUUUAGCACAAACUCUAGGGCUGCUUGUGACACAUAUAGGGAUGGAUCAAUAGAUUGAUCGGAAAGAUAAAUUUGAGGUGGUUCACUACCUACAACAAUUUCUUCUUAUGUUCACCUCUAAUGACCAGGAUUUUGGAGUGAUUCUUUGUGCAUGUUGAGGGAUGGUUAUAUGACUUAAUUAUGCUAGACCUAUUGAGAAAUUGCACUGGUGAAAGUAUGGACCCUUGUUUCCAUGUAUUGAUUUAACAUGUUGCAAGUUGUUUGUCACUUGCUACCUUGUUGUUCUUAUAUUUUUCGAUUGCAAAAAACUAUUUCUACCAUCCAUACUACACUUUUAUCACCAUCUCUUCUCCAAACUAGUGGACCUAUACAAUUUACCAUUGUAUUGGUUGUGUUGGGGACACACGAGAUUUCUUGUAUUUGAUUGCAGGGUUAUUUGAGAGAUACCAUCUUAAUCCUACACCUCCCAUGGAUUGAUAAACCUUAGGUGAUUGAUACGUAUCCAACAUAUCUAUAAUUUUUGGUUGUUCCAUGCUAUUUUAUUGCCAUUCAUGGAUACUUUAUAAGCAUUUAUAUGUUACUUUAUAUCAUUUUUGAAAACUAACCUAUUAACCCAGUGCCUAGUUCCAGUUGUUGUUUUCCGCCUCUUCUGUAUUUUUAGGAAGCAGUACCAAACUAAGUCCAAAUGCAAUGAAAUUUUUGACGUUUUUCUGAACAAAAAUAAGAUAUGGGAGCUUCAGAGGGAGACCAAAUGCCACACGGAGUGGUGCCAAGCCAACAGAGCGCACCUAAGACGGGUAGGCCAGCCCUAAUGGCUAGGUACCACCCCCUCGCGCCUCCUGACCUAACUGCACCUCGAUAAAUUUUCUAAAAUAGGUAAAACACCAUAGAGACACCCAAAAUAUUUUUCCACCACCGCUCGUCUUUGUUCUGCCGCGAACCCAUCUAGAUCACUGUUCCGGUGUCGUGUCGAAGGGUGGAUCAAUCACAGAGGGCCUCUAGAUCAACUGUGAUGCUCCCAUGGUGAUAUGUGAGUAGUUUACGACAGACCUACGGGUCCAUAGCGUAAUUAUAUAUAUAUAUAUAUAUAUAGAUAGAUAGAUAGAGAGAGAGAGACACACACACACACAUAAACACUAUUCUCAUCCCAGGUUGAGAAUAACUAUUCUCAUCCAGACUGACUCGUCCGAGCAGUAGCACUUGAACUUCCCCGAGUGCUAGGUUGAACUUAUGCCAGAAGUGUGCAAAUGGGGCUUGCGAUAUACCAUUGCAAAUCUAUGGACACCCUAAGAAGAUCCUAAUAUGAUUUUUUGUGAAAAUGUUCAUGGUUUAAAAGUAGUUUUCAAAACUAUUUUUGUUCAUACCAAAAAACAUGAAUCGUAUUUUCAAGCCUAUUUCUAAAAGGUUUAUCAAAAUGAUGCAAAUAAGGUGGAGGUGGAGAGACUUUGCAAAUACGCUAAUUUCAUACGUUGAAAGUUCUCCCAAAUUCCCUACGGUUAAAGAGGAAUUAAAAAAAAUGGCUGAAUUUGUGAAACCGAACACCCGGGUUCGUAUUUCAGGGUUAAUUUGAAAACGGCUAGUCCGAUCGAUGCAAAUGAUAUGUUGUUCGAAAGCUUAUGAAAAUGUGCGUUGUUUCAUACAAAAUGUUUAUGCUAACUAUGAACGGUUUAAAAGUAAUUUACUAAAUGGCACAAGUUGUAUCGAGUUUGUAUUUUCGCGUCAAUUUUUCAAAGGUUUGUUGGAAUGGAACGAAUGAUAUGGCGUUGGAAAGCUUGAACAAAUGCUAAACUUUUAUAUGUCAAUUCUUUUUUAAUUCAUUACAGUUUUACGUGAGUUUUUAAAAUGGCUAAAGUGUGUUUUGGCUAUAGGUUUUACAAACUUUAUCGGAAUAAGGCAAAUAAUAUACCGUUGAAAUGCUACGGAAAUGUGAAACUUUUUCAUGUAUAUAGUUUUCUAUGAUUCCUAUCCAUUUUCAAGCAAUCUAGAGAAAAGUGAGAUCAUGCCUUCUGUAUUUAUCGCAAAAUAGAGCCUUCAAAAAUGCAUCGCGUGAAGAACUUGACCUUCUCGCCAUGUCCACUUGAACUUCACUUUGUUUUUUUUGGAAAUAUGCCCUAGAGGCAAUGAUAAAAUAGUUAUUAUUAUAUUUCCUAUUUCAAUAUAAUCGUUUAUUAUCCAUGCUAUAAUUGUAUUGAAUGAAAACAUAAAUGCAUGUGUGGAUAUAUAGACAAAACAAUGUCCCAAGUAAGCCUCUAUUUGACUAGCCUGUUGAUCAAGGAUGGUUAAGGUUUUCUGACCAUAUGCAAGUGUUCUCACUUGAUGACUCGAUCACAUCAUUAGGAGAAUGAUGUGAUGGACAAGACCCAAACUAUAAACGUAGCAUGUGAUCGUAUCAUUUUGUUGCUAUUGUUUUCUGUGUGUCAAGUAUUCAUUCCUAUGACCAUGAGAUCAUGUAACUCACUGACACCGGAGGAAUACCUUGUGUGUAUCAAACGUUGCAACGUUACUGGGUGACUAUAAAGGUGCUCUACACGUAUCUCCGAAGGUGUCCGUUGAGUUAGCAUGGAUCAAGACUGGGAUUUGUCACUCCGUGUGACGGAGAGGUAUCUCGGGGCCCACUCGGUAAUACAACAUCACAUAUAAGCCUUGCAAGAAAUGUGACUCAAGUGUUAGUCACAGGAUCUUGUAUUAAGAAAACGAGUAAAGAGACUUGCCGGUAACGAGAUUGAAAUAUGUAUAGGGAUACCGACGAUCAAAUCUCGGGCAAGUAACAUACCGAAGGACAAAGGGAAUGGUAUACGAGAUUAUAUGAAUCCUUGGCAUAGAGGUUCAAUCGAUAAGAUCUUCAUAGAAUAUGUAGGAUCCAACAUGGACAUCCAGGUCCGGCUGUUGGAUAUUGACCGGGGAGUGUCUGAGGUCAUGUUUGCAUAGUUCUCGAACCCACAGGGUCUGCACACUUAAGGUUCGGUGAUGUUUCAGUAUAGUUGAGUUAUAGGUGUUGGUGACUGAAGGUUGUUUGGAGUCCCGGAUGAGACCACAGACGUCACGAGGGUUUCCGGAAUGGUCCCGAAACGAAGAUUGAUAUAUAGGAUUGUUUCAUUUAGCCUUCGGAAAGAUUUCAGGCAUUAGCGGCACUGUACCGGGAGUGACGAAUGGCUUCCGGGUCUUUACCGGGAGGGCCCACCCACCCGGGAGAGAACCCAAUAACCCAAGGGUGGCGCACCAGCCCUUAGUGGGCUGGUCAGGCCAGCCCAAGUGGGAUAUGUAGGCUAGAAGGAAAAAAUCAAAGGAAAAAAAAGAGGGAGGUGGGAAGGAAGGAGGGGACUCGUCCUUCCCAAACCGAAUUGGAGUUGGAAUCUCCUUCUCCUCUCUCGUGUGGAGCCCUAGGGGCUCCCUUGAGCCCCAACUCUAGCCCCUCCCCUCCUUCUAUAUAUACUAGAGGUUUUAGGGGUUUUGAGACACAACUUUUGCCACGUGCAACCCUAAACCUCUACUUCGUAGUUCUUCCUCUAGAUCGGUUUUCUGCGGAGCUCGGGCGGAGCCCUGCAGGAAUAAAUCAUCACCAUCACCGGCGCGCCGUCACGCUUCUGGAUAACUCAUCUACUUCCCCGUCUCUCUUGCUGGAUCAAGAAGGCGGAGAUCGCCAUCGAGCUAUACGUGUGCUGAACGCGGAGGUGCCGUCCGUUCGGCGCUAGAUCAGAACGGAUCAUGGGACGACGGUGAUUUGAAUCACAAAGCCGUUCCACUACAUGAACUGCGUUUCUUAAUGCUUCCCGCUUAGCGACCUACAAGGGUAUGUGGAUCCGAUCUCCCACUCUUAGAUGAACAUCACCAUGAUAGGUCUUCGUGUGCGUAGGAAUUUUUUUGUUUCCCAUGCAACGUUCCCCAAUAGUGGCAUCGUGUUCUAGGUUCAUGCGUAGAUGUAAUAUCGAGUAGAACACUUAAGUUUUUGUGGGCAUUGAUGUUCGAUUUGCUGCCCUCCUUAGUCUUUUAUCAAUUCGGCGGUAUUGUUGGAUUGAAGCGUCCCGGACCAACAUUACUCGUACGCUUACGAGAGACCAGUUUCAUCGACUAACAUGCAACUCGUUCCAUAACGAUGACUGGCGGGUGCUGGUUCUUCAACUUUAGUUGAAUUGGAUUUGACCGAGGCGGUCCUUGGAGAGAGGGUAAAUAGCAAUUUGCACAUCUCCAUUGUAGUUUUGCGUAAGUAAGAUGCGAUCGUACUAGAUACACAUAGCAGCCACGUAAAACAUGCAACAACAAAUUAGAGGACGUCUAACUUGUUUUUGCAGGCUAUGCAUGUGAUGUGAUAUGGCCAAAGACAGGAUGUGAUAUAUUGGAUGUAUGAUAUGAUCAUGUUGUAAUAGUUAAAUAUCCACUUGCACUUAGAUGCUACGACAACCGGCAGGAGCCAUAAGGUUGUCUUUAAACUAUCUUCUGUGUUUGCAGAUGCGUUUACUAUAUUGCUAGGUUGUAGAUUUAGUAGUAAUAGCAUAGAUAGCACGACAACAUCGAUGGCAGCACGAUGAUGGAGAUCUUGAUGAUGGAGAUCAUGGUGUGGCACCGGUGACGAUGAAGAUCAUGCCGGUGCUUUGGUGAUGGAGAUCAAGAAGCACAAGAUCAUGGACAUAUCAUGUCACUUAUGAAUUGCAUGUGAUGUUAAUCCUUUUAUGCACCUUAUCUUGCUUAGAACGACGGUAUCAUUAUAAGGUGGUCCCUCACUAAAAUUUGAAGAUAAAAUUGUGUUCUCCCCGACUAUGCGCCAUUGCGACAGUUCAUCAUUUCAAGACACCAUGUGAUGAUCGGGUGUGAUAGAUUCAACGUUCACAUACAAUGGUUGCAAAACAGUUGCACACGCGGAACACUCGGGUUAAACUUGACGAGCCUAGAGUGUGCAGACAUGGCCCCAGAAUACAUGAGACCGAAAGGUCGAGCAUGAAUCAUAUAGUUGAUAUGAUUAACAUAGAGAUGUUUAGCACUGAAACUGCAGUCAACUCACGUGAUGAUCGGACUUGUGUUAGUGAAUUUGGAUCAUCCCACACUCAAAUAACUAGAGGGAUGUCUAUUUGAGUGGGAGUUUAUUAGUAAUUUGAUUAGCUAAACUCUAAUUGUCUUGAACAUAGUCUAAGUCCACUUUGCAAUAUUUUAUGUUGUAGAUCAAUGGCUCACGCAGUAGCAACCCUGAAUUUCAAUACGUUCCUAGAGAAAGCUAAGUUGAAAGAUGAUGGUAGCAACUUUGUAGACUGGGCUCAUAAUCUCAGGCUCAUCCUGCAAGCUGGGAAAAAGAAUUAUGUCCUUGAUGCUGUGCUAGGAGAUGAACCAUCCUCAACGUCUGAUCAAGAUGUUUUGAACGCUUGGCAAGCACGUAAGGAGGACUACUCAGUAGUUCAAUUGUAGUCUUGUAUGGCUUAGAACCAGGACUUCAACGAUCUUUGAACGUCAUGGAGCAUAUGAGAUGUUCCAGGAGUUGAAGUUUAUCUUUCAGAAGAACGCCCGAAUCGAGGGGUAUGAGACCUUCAAUAAAUUCUACGCUUGCAAGAUGGAGGAGAAUUCGUCUGUCAGUGAACAUGUGCUCAAAAUGUCUGGGGUACUCAUACCGUCUAGCUGAUAUGGGAUUGAAUUCCCGCAAGAGUCUAUCACUAACAGAAUUCUUCAAUCACUGCCACCUAGCUACAAGAGCUUUGUGUUGAACUAUAACAUGCAAGGGAUGAACAAGUCACCCAGUGACUUAUUCGCGAUGCUGAAAGUCGCAGAGUCAGAACUCCCGAAAGAACAUCAAGUGUUGAUGGUGAAUAAGACCACUGGUUUCAAGAAAAGCGGCAAAGGCAAGAAGGGUAACUCCAAGAAGAGUGGAAAAGCUGUUGCUCCUUCGACGAAGAAACCCAAGGCUGGACCUAAGUCGGAAACUGAGUGCUAUUAUUGCAAGGGGAUGGGUCACUGGAAGCGCAACUGCCCCAAGUAUUUGGCUGAUAAGAAGGCGGCCAACGCCAAACCAGGUAUAUGUGAUAUACAUGUUAUUGUUGUGUACCUAACCAACUCUCGUAGUAGUGCCUCGGUAUUUGAUACUGGUUCUGUUGCUCAUAUUUGCAACUCGAAGCAGGAACCGCGGAAUAAACGAAGGCUGGAGAAGGAUGAAGUGACGAUGCGCGUGGGAAAUGGUUCCAAGGUUGAUGCAAUCGCCAUCGACACAGUCUCACUUCAGUUACCAUCAGGAUUAGUUAUCAACUUAAAUAAUUGUUAUUUAGUGCGUGCGUUAAGCAUGAACAUUAUAUCUGGAUCUUGUUUAUUACGAGACGGUUACUCAUUUAAGUCAGAGAAUAAUGGUUGUUCUAUUUAUAUGAGUAAUAUAUUUUAUGGUCAUGCACCCAAUGUGAGGGGUUUGUUCAUAUUGAAUCUUGAUUGUGAUGAUACACAUAUACAUAACAUUGAGACCAAAAGAUGUAGAGUUAACAAUGAUAGUGCCACCUUUUUGUGGCACUGUCGCUUAGGUCAUAUUGGUAUAAAGCGCAUGAAGAAACUCCAUGUUGAUGGGCUUUUGGAGUCACUUGAUUUCGAAUCACUUGACACGUGUGAACCAUGCCUCAUGGGAAAGAUGACUAAGACUCUAUUCUUCGGAACAAUGGAGCGUGCAAGUGACUUGUUGGAGAUCAUACAUACUGAUGUGUGUGGUCCAAUGGGGGUGGAGGCGCACGGCGGAUAUCGUUAUUUUCUCACUUUCACUGAUGAUUUGAGUAGGUAUGGAUAUAUCUACUUGAUGAAGCACAACUCUGAAACAUUUGAAAAGUUCAAGAAAUUUGAGAGUGAAGUUGAAAAUCAUCGUAACAAGAAGAUCAAGUUCCUACGAUCUGAUCGAGGGGGCGAAUAUCUGAGUUUCGAGUUUGGUGCUCACUUAACACAAUCUUGAAUCGUUUCACAGGUUAAACCGCCUGGAACACCACAGCGUAAUGGUGUGUCCGAACGUUGUAAUCGUACUUUGUUAGAUAUGGUGUGAUCUAUGAUAUCUCUUACCGAUUUGCCAUUAUCGUUUUGGGGUUAUGCAUUAGAGACAGCUGCAUUCACUUCAAAUAGGGCACCAUCAAAAUCCGUUGAGACGACACCAUAUGAGCUAUGGCAUGGCAAGAGGCCAAAGUUAUCGCUUCUUAAAGUUUGGGGAUGCGAUGCUUAUUUCAAAAAGCUUCAACCCGAAAAGCUGGAACCUGAUAAACGUAUCUAUAAUUUUUGAUGGUUUCACGCUGUUAUCUUGCCUUCUUUGUAUGUUUUAUGUACCUUUUUAUAUCUUUUUGGGACUAACUUAUUAAUUCAGUGCCAAGUGCCAGUUCCUGUUUUUCCCGUGUUUUUGACUCUUUUCAGAUCUGAUUUUGGAACGGAGUCCAAACGGAAGAAAAACCCCGAAAUGAUAUUUUCCCGAACGGGAGAAGUCCAGGGGGCUUUUGGGCCAAGCCAGGUGGGCUCCAAGGAGCUCACAAGCCCCCACUCCGCCACCAGGGGAGGCGGCGGUGGGCAGGCUUGUGGCCUCCCUGGCUGCCCCCUGACCUAGGUCUUUGGCCUAUAAAUUCCCAAAUAUUCCGCAAAAAAUCACGGGAGCCUCGAAAAUACUUUUCCACCGCUGCAAGCUUCCGUUUCCGCGAGAUCUCAUCUGGAGACCCUUCCCGGCACCCUGUCGGAGGGGACUUUGGAGUUGGAGGGCUUAUUCAUCAUCAUCAUCACCCCUCCAAUGACUCGUGAGUAGUUCACUUCACACCUACGGGUCCGUAGUUAGUAGCUAGAUGUCUUCUUCUCUCUCUUGGAUCUUCUAUACAAAGUUCUCCAUGAUCUUCAUGGAGAUCUAUCCGAUGUAAUCUUCUUUGGCGGAGUGUUUGUCGAGAUCCGAUGAAUUGUGGACUUGUGAUCAGAUUAUCUAUGAUAUAUAUUUGAGUCUUUGCUGAUUUCUUAUAUGCAUGAUUUGAUAUCCUUGUAAGUCUCUCCGAGUCUUGGGUUUUGUUUGGCCAACUAGAUCUAUGAUUCUUGCAAUGGGAGAAGUGCUUGGUUUUGGGUUCUGCCAUGUGGUGACCUUUCCCAGUGACAGUAGGGGCAACAAGGCACACAUCAAGCAGUUGCCAUCAAGGGUAAAAAGAUGGGGUUUUUAUCAUUGGUUUGAGAUUAUCCCUCUACAUCAUGUCAUCUUGCUUAAGGCAUUACUCUGUUCUUAUGGACUUAAUACACUAGAUGCAUGCUGGAUAGCGGUCGACGUGUGGAGUAAUAGUAGUAGAUGCAGAAAGUAUCGGUCUACAUGUUUCAGACGUGAUGCCUAUAGAAAUAAUCAUUGCAUAGAUAUCGUCAUGACUCUACACAGUUCUAUCAAUUGCUCGACAGUUAUUUGUUCACCCACCGUCUACUUGCUUUCAUGAGAGAAGCCACUAGUAAACACUACGGCCCCCGGGUCUAUUCACAUCCAUCGUUUACAUCUCCGCUUUUACCUUGCUUUGAUACUUUGUUGCUUUCAGUUCUCACUUGGCAAACAAUCUAUAAGGGAUUGACAAACCCUCCAUAGCGCUGGGUGCAAGCUUUUGUGUUUGUGCAGGAUCUUGAGAUACUCUUCCGCCGGAUUGAUACCUUGGUUCUCAAACUAAGGGAAAUACUUACCAUCGCUAUGCUACAUCACCCUUUCCGCUUCGAGGGAACACCAACGCAAGGCUCCAAGGCCACGGGGGAAAUCCUUUGCAUACUUGCCUAGGAAGUCCCUUAAGGCAUAGCCGUAGCUGAAGGAUUCCUGGUGCCGUCGACACAACUAUUUCUGGCGCCGUUGCAAGGGAUACACAGCAAAUAUCAGAAGUAUUUCUGGCGCCGUUGCCGGGGAGGAGAAAUCAAGAUCUAUCCAAGUAGGUCUCACAAACUCUUCUCUUGCAUUUACUUUUGUUGCCAGUUGCCUCUCGUUUUCCUCUCCCCCACUUCACAUUUGCCUUUCUCCUUUGACUUUUUUGUUUGCUAUUUUUGUUCGCCCUUUUCUCUCGCUUGCUUUAUGUUCACUUGUGUGUCAUGUGCCUUCAAAAUGCUUGCAUCUUCGCUUGCUGAAAAUCUAUUGAUAUGGAUCCUCAUCCACUAGCUAGUCUCUUUAAGAGACCCACUAUUGUGGAACGAAUUGCUAGUGAGUUGAGGGCAAUUGACUUUUUCUAUGGAGUUUUGCUUAAGAUGCGUGAAUCUGAAAAUUGCGAGGAAGAAAUUCAUGAAGUGAUUCACGAGGGCUCAUUGGAUGAAAAGCAUGAUUGCAAUGGUUUCACUACAAAUUCUAUUAGUGACAAUCAUGCUAAAAUUAUGCAAAACCCUAAGCUUGAGGAUGCUAGUCUUGCUAUGACCACUACUUGUAGCAAAGAUCAUGAUUGGGGUGAGGAUUUUUCUUCUGAUCUUGAAAAUUUGUUCAAGCCUCAAGAUGAAUAUGAUAUUUGCAAUAUUAUUGAAAGUGGGUUUGGAGAAGUCAUGACUUUAGAUGAUAAUCCCACUAUUUUUGAAGAGCGUCAACUUUGCAUGCAUGUGGAUCAUGAAAAGAAUAUCCUAUGGGAUAGCUAUAUUGUUGAAUUUGAAUAUGAUCCCACAUGUAAUUGCUAUGAGGGAGGAAAAUAUUUUGGUAGAAACUUUCAUGUUACCAAAUCACCUCUCGUGAUGUUGAGAUUGCUCUUGUCUCUUUCUUCUUCCUUGCAUAUGGCAGCUAUUGGUUGUCUUGACAAUUUGUUUUGCUAUAAAAUGCCUAUGCAUAGGAAGUAUGUUAGACUUAUAUGUGAUUUUCACAUGCUUUAUGAUGCUCUCGUUGUGCUUCAAUUCUUGUCUUUUGUGAGAGCAUCAUUGAAUGCCUAGCUAAGGGCGUUAAACAAAAACGCUUGUUGGGAGGCAAUUCAACGAAUCUAUCCUUUUUCUUUCUGUUUUGUGUUUUUCACACUUUCAUAAUUCUGUUAUGAUUGUGUUUUUGUGUUUCUUUUUGCGUUUGUGCCAAGCAAAACCGUUAUGAUUAGUCUUGAGGAUGAUCGUUUGGUCAUGUUGGAAAAGACAAAAACUUUCUGCUCACGAAAAGAAUUUUCAUUUUUUUUCUGUAAGUGUUUUUGAGUUUAUUCUUUUUGCUGCUGAUUUCUACGCUAAUUCUUCAGACUGUCGUAAGUUUUCAGAAGUUUUGAUGUACCAUAGGUAUACGAAACAUACAGAUUUAUAUAGACUGGUCUGCUGUUAACAGAUUCUGUUUUUGUUGUGUUGGUUGCUUAUUUUGAUGAAACUAUGGAUAGUAUCAGGGGGUAUUAGCCAUGGAAGAUUGAAAGUACAGUAACCCAACAUCAGCACAAGUAGAAUUUAAGUUUGCUACAGUACCUAAGGAAGUGGUGGUUUGCUUUCUUGUACUAAUGUUAUCACGAGUUUCUGUUUAAGUUUUGUGUUGUGAAGUUUUCAAGUUUUGGGUGAAGUUCUUAUGGACAAAAAGAUAAAGAGUGGCAAGAGCUCAAGCUUGGGGAUGCCCAAGGCACCUCAAGAGACUCAAGUAUGCCGUAAAAGCCUAAGCUUGGGGAUGCCCCGGGAAGGCAUCCCCUCGCUCGUCUUCAAUCCAUCGGUAACGUUACUUGGGGCUAUAUUUUUAUUCACCGCAUGUUAUGUGUUUUUUCUUGGAGCGUCUUGUAUCGUAGGAGUCUUUUAUUUUUGUUGUGUCACAAUCAUCCUUGCUGCACACCUAGAUAGAGAUACAUGCACACACCGUGAUUUUGUCGAGCUUCACUUAUAUCUUUUGGUAGACAAUUCAGCUCACAUGUGCUUCACUUAUAUCUUUUGAGCUAGAUACUUUUUCUCUAUGUGCUUCACUUAUAUAUUUUAGAGCACAGCGGUGCGUGGCUUGGUAGUUGAUCUAUGCUUUGAAAGUAGUCUCAAAAGGGGUAGUUAUCCAAAGGGAUACGAAAACUUCCACCCUCAUGUGCAUUGAAUAGUUAGAGAAGUUUGAUUCAUCUCAAUUAGUUUUGAGUUGUGGUUAUGGUAAUAUUGAAGUCAUGCUUGUAAGGUAUUGUGGAUCUAGGAAUACUUGUGUUGAAGUUAGUGAUUCCCGUAGCAUGCACGUAUGGUGAACCGCUAUGUGAUGAAGUCUGAGCAUGAUUAGUAUAUUGGUUUUCAUCCUUUGCCUGGCGGUCGGGAUCACGCGAUGGUUUAUACCUACCAACCAUUCCCCUAGGAGUAUGCGUUGAAUGCUUUGUUUCGAUUACUAAUAAAACUUUUGCAACAAGUAUAUGAGUUCUUCAUGACUAAUGUUGAGUCCAUGGUUUAGAUGCACUUUCACCUUCCACCAUCAUUAUCUUCUUAGUGCCAUGCAACUUCCGUCGGUGCACAAAACCCACCAUUAGCCUCCCUCAAAACAGCCACCAUACCUACCUACUAUGGCUAUUUCAAAGUCAUUCCGAGAUAUAUUGCCAUGAAACUACCACCAUGAUAUGUGCCACCACGUCUACAUUGCCAUUACAUGAUCGUAAGAUAGAUAGCAUGCUGUUUCCAUUGAUGUCUAUGCCAUGCUAGAUCAUUGCCAUGGUACACUACCGAAGGCAUUCCAUAUAGAGUCAUAGUUGCUCUAAGUUUUGAGUUGAAAGUGUGAUUCAUUAUUGGAGCAUUGUCCCAUGUGAGGAAAUAAAAGAGGCCAAAGAAGCCCAUAAAAAAAAGAGGCCAAAGAGCCCGCCAAAAUAAAAAAAAUGAGAGAAAAAGAGAGAAGGGACAAUGCUACCACUUUUUCCACACUUGUGCAUAUUGAGCACCAUAAUCUUCAUGAUUGAGAGUCUCUCGUUUUGUCACCACCAUAUAGCUAGUGGGAAAUUCUCAUUAUAUAACUUGGCUUGUAUAUUCCAAUGAUAGGCUUCCUCAAAAUUGCCUUAGGUCUUCGUGAGCAAGCAAGUUGGAUGCACACCCACUAGUUUUCUUUAAGAGCUUUCACAUACUUGUAGCUCUAGUGCAUCAUUUGUAUGGCAAUCCCUACUCAUUCACAUUGGUAUCUAUUGAUGAGCAUCUCCACAGCUCAUUUAUAUGCCUAGUUAAUGUGACUAUCUUCUCCUUUUUGUCUUGCAACCUCCACCACAUUUCACCCAUCUAUAGUGCUAUAACCAUGUCUCACGCUCAUGUAUUGCGUGAGAGUUGAAAAUGUUUGAGAAAGUAAAGGUGUGAAACAAUUACUUGGCCAAUACCGGGGAUGUGCAUGAUUUAAAUUCGUUGUGCAAUGAUGAUAGAGCAUAGACAGACUAUAUGCUUUUGUAGGGAUAAGUUUCUUUUGGCCUUGUUAUUUUGAAAGUUCAUGAUUACUUUGCUAGUUUGCUUGAAUUAUUAUUGUUUCCACGUCAAUAGCAAACUAUUGUUUUGAAUCUAAUGGAUCUGAACAUUCACGUCACAUAAGAGGAAUUACAAAGGACACCUAUGCUAGGUAGCAUGAAAGCAUCAAAAAUUCAUUCUUAUCACUUCCCUACUCGAGGACGAGCAUGAGUUAAGCUUGGGGAUGCUUGAUACGUCUCAAACGUAUCUGUAAUUUUUGAUGGUUUCACGCUGUUAUCUUGCCUUCUUUGUAUGUUUUAUGUACCUUUUUAUAUCUUUUUGGGACUAACUUAUUAAUUAAGUGCCAAGUGCCAGUUCCUGUUUUUUCCGUGUUUUUGACUCUUUUCAGAUCUGAUUUUGGAACGGAAUCCAAACGGAAGAAAAACCCCGAAAUGAUUUUUUCCCGAACGGAAGAAGUCCAGGGGGCUUUUGGGCCAAGCCAGGUGGGCUCCAGGGAGCCCACAAGACCCCACUCCGCCACCAGGGGGACACGGCGGUGGGCAGGCUUGUGGCCUCCCUGGCCGCCCCCUGACCUAGGUCUUUGGCCUAUAAAUUCCCAAAUAUUCCGCAAAAAAUCAGGGGAGCCUCGAAAAUACUUUUCUGCCGCCGCAAGCUUCCGUUUCCGCGAGAUCUCAUCUGGAGACCCUUCCCGGCACCCUACCGGAGGGGACUUUGGAGUUGGAGGGCUUCUUCAUCAUCAUCGUCGCCCCUCCAAUGACUCGUGAGUAGUUCACUUCAGACCUACGGGUCCGUAGUUAGUAGCUAGAUGGCUUCUUCUCUCUCUUGGAUCUUCAAUACAAAGUUCUUCAUGAUCUUCAUGGAUAUCUAUUCGAUGUAAUAUUUUUUGGCGGUGUGUUUGUCGAGAUCCGAUGAAUUGUGGACUUGUGAUCAGAUUAUCUAUGAUAUAUAUUUGAGUCUUUGCUGAUUUCUUAUAUGCAUGAUUUGAUAUCCUUGUAACUCUCUCCGAGUCUUGUGUUUUGUUUGGCCAACUAGAUCUAUGAUUCUUGCAAUGGGAGAAGUGCUUGGUUUUGGGUUCUGCCAUGUGGUGACCUUUCCCAGUGACAGUAGGGGCAGCAAGGGACACAUCAAGCAGUUGCCAUCAAGGGUAAAAAGAUGGGGUUUUUAUCAUUGGUUUGAGAUUAUCCCUCUACAUCAUGUCAUCUUGCUUAAGGCGUUACUCUGUUCUUAUGGACUUAAUACACUAGAUGCAUGUGUGGAUAGCGGUCGACGUGUGGAGUAAUAGUAGUAGAUGCAGAAAGUAUCGGUCUACUUGUUUCGUACGUGAUGCCUAUAGAAAUAAUCAUUGCAUAGAUAUCGUCAGGACUCUACACAGUUCUAUCAAUUGCUCGACAGUAAUUUGUUCACCCACGUCUACUUGCUUUCAUGAGAGAAGCCACUAGUAAACACUACGGCCCCCGGGUCUAUUCACAUCCAUCGUUUACAUCUCCGCUUUUACCUUGCUUUGUGACUUUGUUUCUUUCAGUUCUCACUUGGCAAACAAUCUAUAAGGGAUUGACAACCCCUUCAUAGCGUUGGGUGCAAGCUUUUGUGUUUGUGCAGGAUCUUGAGAUACUCUUCCGCCGGAUUGAUACCUUGGUUCUCAAACUGAGGGAAAUACUUACCGUCGCUGUGCUACAUCACCAUUUCCGCUUAGAGGGAACACCACCGCAAGGCUCAAAGGCCACGGGGGAAAUCCUUUGCAUACUUGCCUAGGAAGUCCCUUAAGGCGUAGCCGUAGCUGAAGGAUUCCUGGUGCCGUCUACACAACUAUUUCUGGCGCCUUUGCAAGGGAUACACAGCAAACAUCAGAACCCAAAGCGGAAAAGUGCGUCUUCAUAGGUUACCCAAAAGAGACAGUUGGGUACACAUUCUAUCUCAGAUCCGAGGGCAAAGUGUUUGUUGCUAAGAACGUAGCUUUUCUUGAGAAGGAGUUUCUCUCGAAAGAAUUGAGUGGGAGGAAGAUCGAACUUGAUGAGGUUGUGGAACCUCUGCUCCCUGUAGAUGGUGGCAUAUGGCAGAGAGAAAUUUGUGUUGAGGCAACACCGGUUGAGGAGGAAGCUAAUGAUGGUGAUCAUAAAGCUUCGGAUCAAGUUACUGUCAGACCUCGCAGGUCAACAAGAUCAUGUACUGCUCCCGAGUGGUACUAGAAUCCUGUCUUAUCUAUCAUGUUGUUAGAAAACAAUGAGCCCGCGAAUUAUGAAGAAGCAAUGGUGGACCUGGAUUCCGACAAAUGGUUAGAGGCCAUGAAGUCCGAGAUAGGAUCUAUGUAUGAAAACAAAGUAUGGACUUUCGAAGUAUUACAUGAAGGUCGCAAGGCUAUUCAGAACAAAUGGAUCUUUAAGAAGAAGACGGAUGCGGACGGUAAUGUGACCGUUUAUAAAGCUCGACUUGUGGCAAUGGGUUUUUCACAAGUUCAAGGAGUUGACUACGAUGAGACAUUCUCACCGGUAGCGAUGCUUAAGUCCGUCCAAAUCAUGUUAGCAAUACUUGCAUAUUUCGAUUAUGAAAUCUAGCAGAUGGAUGUGAAAACGGUGUUCCUUAAUGGUUUUCUUAAGGAAGAGUUGUAUAUGAUGCAACCCGAAGGUUUUGUCGAUCCGAAGAAUGCUAACAAAGUAUGCAAGCUCCAGCGAUCCAUUUAUGGACUGCUGCAAAUCUCAGAGUUGGAAUAAGCGCUUCGAUGAGGUGAUCAAGGCAUUUGGGUUUAUACGAGUUGUUGGAGAAUCUUGGAUUUCCAAGAAAGUGAGUGGGAGAUCUGUAGGAUUUCUAAUAUUAUACGUGGAUGACAUAUUGCUGAUUGGAAACAAUGUGGAGUUUUUAGAGAGCGUAAAGGAUUACUUGAACAAAUGUUUUUCAAUGAAAGACCUAGGAGAAGCUGCUUACAUAUUGGGCAUUAAGAUCUAUAGGGAUAGAUCGAGGCGCCUAAUAAGACUUUCACAAAGCACAUACCUUAAUAAAGUUAAAAAUGGAGCAGUCCAAGAAGGGUUCUUGCCAGUGUUACAAGAUAUAAAGUUGAGUAAGACUCAGUGUCCAGUAAGUGCGGAAGAUAGAGAAAAGAUGAGUACCGUCCCCUAUGCUUCAACCAUUGGGUCUAUCAUGUAUGCAAUGUUGUGCACGAGACUGGACGUCAGCCUGGCCACAAAUAUGGCAGGCAGGUUUCAAAGUGAUCCAGGAGUGGAAUACUGGGCGGCGGUCAAGAAUAUUCUGAAGUACCUGAAAGGACUAAUGAAUGUUUCUCGUUUAUGGAAGUGAUGAAGAGCUCGUCGUAAAGGGUUACGUCGAUGCAAGCUUUGACACUGAUCCGGAUGACUCUAAUUCUCAAACGAGAUACGUAUUUAUUCUCAAUGGGGUGCGGUAAGCUGGUGCAGUUCCAAGUAAAGCGUCAUAGCAGAUUCUACAUGUGAAGCGGAGUACAUGGCUGCAUUGAAGGAAGCUAAGGAAGGUGUCUGGAUGAAGCAGUUCAUGACGGAUCUUGGAGUUGUGCCGAGCACACUAAAUCCAAUAACUCUGUUCUGUGACAACACUGGUGCCAUUGCUCUAGCAAAGCAACCAAGGUUUCACAAGAAGACCAGACACAUCAAACGACGCUUCAACCUCAUCUGCGACUAUGUCGAAGGAGAGGACGUAAAUAUUUGCAAAGUGCACACGGAUCUGAAUGUUGCAGAUCCGCUGACUAAACAUCUUCCACGAGCGAAGCAUGAUCAACACCAGAACAGUAUGGGUCUUAGAUUCAUUCCAAUGUAAAUCGCAUAGCGAUGUGAGACUAGAUUACUUACUCUAGUGCAAGUGGGAGACUAUUGGAAAUAUUCCCUAGAGGCAAUGAUAAAAUAGUUAUUAUUACAUUUCCUGUUUCAAGAUAAUCGUUUAUUAUCCAUGCUAUAGUUGUAUUGAAUGAACACAUAAAUGCACGUGUGGAUAUAUAGAGAAAACAAUGUCCCUAGUAAGCCUCUAGUUGACUAGCCAGUUGAUCAUGGAUGGUUAAGGUUUUCUGACCAUAUGCAAGUGUUGUCACUUGAUGAAUGGAUCACAUCAUUAGGAGAAUGAUGUGAUGGACAAGACCCAAACUAUAAACGUAGCAUGUGAUUGUGUUACUUUGUUGCUAUUGUCUUCUGCGUGUCAAGUAUUCAUUCCUAUGACCAUGAGAUCUUGUAACUCACUGCCACCAGAGGAAUACCUUGUGUGUAUCAAACGUCGCAACGUUACUGGGUGACUAUAAAGGUGCUCUAUAGGUAUCUCUGAAGGUGUCCAUUGAGUUAGCAUGGAUCACCACUAGGAUUUGUCACUCCGUGUGACGGAGAAGUAUCUCGGGGCCCACUCGGUAAUACAACAUCACAUAUAAGCCUUGCAAGCAAUUUGACUCAAGUGUUAGUCACUGUAUCUUGUAUUACGGAAGGAGUAAAGAGACUUGCCGCUAACGAGAUUGAAAUAGGUAUAGGGAUACCGACGAUCAAAUCUCGGGCAAGUAACAUACCAGAGGACAAAGGGAAUGGUAUACAAGAUUAUAUGAAUCCUUAGCACAGAGGUUCAACCGAUAAGAUAUUUGUAGAAUAUGUAGGAUCCAACAUGGACAUCCAGGUCCCGCUGUUGGAUAUUGACCGGGGAGUGUCUCAGGUCAUGUCUGCAUAGUUCUCGAACUCGCAGGAUCUGCACACUUAAGGUUCGAUGACGUUUCGGUAUAGUUGAGUUAUAGGUGUUGGUGGACAAAGUUUGUUCGUAGUCCCAUAUGAGAUCAAGGAUGUCACAAAGGGUUUCCAGAAUGGUCUGAAAAUGAAGAUUGAUAUAUAGGAUUGUUUCAUUUGGCCUCCAGAAAGAUUUCUGGUAUUACCGGCAGUGUACCGGGAGUGACGAAUGGGUUCUGGGUCUUUACCGGGAGGGACCCACCUACCCGGGAGAGAACCCAAUAGCCUAAGGGUUGCUCACCAGCCCUUAGUGGGCUGGUGAGGCCAGCCCAAGUGGGUUAUGUCGGCUAGAAGGAAAAAAUCAAAGGAAAAAAAGAGGGAGGUGGGAAGGAAGGAGGGGAUUCAUCCCCUUCCAAAUCGAAUUGGAGUUGGAAUCUCCUCCUCCUUUCUCGGCCGACGCCCUAGGGGCUCUCUUGAGCCCCAAGGCUAGCCCCUCCCCUCCUCCUAUAUAUACUAGAGAUUUUAGGGUUUUUGAGACACAACUUUUGCCACGUGCAACCCUAAACCUCUACUUCGUAGUUCUUCCUCUAGAACGGGUUUCUGUGGAGCUCGGGCAGAGCCCAGCAGGAAUAGAUCAUCACCAUCACCGGCGCGUCGUCACGCUGCCAGAGAACUCAUCUACAUCCCCAUCUCUCUUGCUGGAUCAAGAAGGCUGAGAUCAAAAUCGAGUUGUACGUGUGCUGAACGCGGAGGUGUCGUCCGUUCGGCUCUAGUUCGGAACGGAUCGUGGGACGACAGUGAUUUGAAUCAUGAAGCUGUUCCACUACAUCAACCACGUUUCUUAAUGCUUCCCGCUGAGCGAUCUACAAGGGUAUGUGGAUCCGAUCUCCCUCUCAUAGAUGAACAUCACCAUGAUAGGUCUUCGUGUGCGUAGGAAAUUUUUUGUUUCCCAUGCAACGUUCCCCAACAUGUUUUUCACGUGCUGUUUUUUGCAAGUAACUCUCCAUCAAGUCACUGUAAUUGAGAAGUGAUAUACAGAUGUAAAGCUAUUGUAAACACACAACUUUUUUGUGUUGAUGCUGUUGUUUCAUACUCGCGACGGUUUAAAAUAUAUUCAUAUGACAUUCAUGCAGUGUAUUAGUUGACCUUCCCCGAGUGCUAGGUUGAACUUCCACUAAUAUUGUCCAAAUGGGGCUUGCAAUAUAUAGUUGGAAAGCUAUGGGCACCAUGAUAACAACCUAGGUUGAAUUUUUGUCAAAAUGUUCAUGGUUUAAGAGCUGUUUUGAAAACCGUUUUUGUUCAUACAAAAAAGGUGAAUCGUGUUAUCAAGGCUAUUUCUAAACCGUUCGUGGGAAUGAGACUAAUGAGAUUGCUAUAAAUCCUCUCAUUUCAUAUGUUUAAAGUUUUCCCAAUUUUCCUACGGUUAAAGAGGAAUUUCAAAAAUGGCGGAAUUUCUGAAACCGAAAAGUUGGGUACAUAUUUCGGGGUUAAUUUGAAAAUGGCUAGUACGAUAGACACAAAUGAUAUGUCGUUAGAAACUUAUGAAAAUGUGCAUAUUUUAUUAUAAAUAGUUUCUUCUACUAUUAACGGUUUAAAAGUAAUUUAGAAAACGGCACAAGUUGUACCGAGUUCGUAUUUUAGCGUUAACUUCACAAUGGUUUGUCGGAACGGAGCAAAUGAUCUCACGUUGGAAAGAUAAUGAAAUACGACACUUUUAUAUGUAGAUUUUUUUCCAAUUACUUAUGGUUUUUAGUCAGUUUUAAAAAUGGGUAAAAAUGUUUUUUGGCCGCAGGUUUUACAAACUUUAUCAAAAUGGGUCAAAUAAUAUACCGCUGAAAAGCUACAGUAAAUGAAAAAAAAUGAUGUAGAUAGUUUUCUCUCAUUCCUAGCCGUUUUUAAGGCAUCUUGAAAACAAUGAGAUCAUGCGUUCUUCCUGUAUUGUGAAAAAGAUUCUUGGAAAAUGCACCGCGUGAAGAACGUGAUCUUCUCGGCUUGUCUCCAUGAACUUCACUUUGUUUUUUCACGUGUUGUUUUUUAUAGUACACUCCAUCCACUCACCGGAAUUGAGAAAAUGAUAUACCGAUGGAAAACUGCUGUAAAUACGCAACUUUUCCAUGUUGGGGAUUUGUUCAUACCCGGGGUAGUUUAAAAUAUUUUCAUGUGAAAUUCAUGCAGUGUAGUAGUUUAACUUUCCGCUGUUUUCACAUCGAACUUCUAUCGCGUAUUUUCGUUUGUAAUUUCUCACCCAUUUGUCGGUGUUACACAAAUGAUAUUCCUUUUGUACAUACCUGUCUCACAAUAAUUGUUUUUCACUUUCUCCAACCGAGGACUUGAAUUUAUAGCAACAAAAAAUGUGGACCUUGGCUUUUUAUUCAUUUUUGUCACACCAAACACACACCAUGUAGUACGUGAACUUUCUCCAUUUUUUUAAUUUCAAUUUUUGAAUUUUUUUAAAUCGAAUUACUCCCAAAUAAUAGCUAAAAUUAUUUGUGGGUUCAGAGAAUUAUUAUAAAUAGAAAAAAUAAUUUCUUUUUCUGUUUUUGAACAUGGAAAUACAAGGUGAACCUAUCUUGCAAGCAUUUUUGAACUCACACGGGCCGAGCACGUGAACUUCUUUCAACAAACCUUUUAAGCUUUUAUAUUCCUAUUCGCUUAUUCUCAUAUGAAACACAUUCCUUGUAGUACUUAGACUUCUCACUGUUUUCACUAUGAACUUUUGUCAUGUUUUUUGUUUGUAAUUCCUCAACCGCUCCUUGGAGUUACACAAAUGAUGUACCAUUAGAAAAUCCAUUGAAAAGAAACAACUUUUUCUAAUACGGUUAACUUUUCUUUUUGAACAACAUACAACAAUUUUUCAUGGAUUGAGAGACUUACUGAAAAACACCAAAAGAACACUUCUUUGAACUUCAACCAAAACUCAAUUAUAUUUUAAACAUCACAACGAAUAGUAGCUAUUUGAAAAAAUUUCAAAUUAGUUACAUGUGUAUUUUUUUGGAUCAUUGUAGUUUCAAAAAAACAUAGGCACAUAAGGGAGAGAGAAUUAUGUAUGCAUAAAGUGGAUAGCAAUUUUGAAAUUUCCCUUGCCAAGAACUUGAACUUCUAGCAGCAAAAGUUUACAUUUUGUGAGUUGGUUUUAAAAAUUCCAAAAAUGGCGAUGGGUUUUGUUUUUGUUUUUUGAACAAGCAAAUCCUAGGUUCUAAUAAACACUAAAUUUUGUGUCAUUUUAAUUAGAACUUCAUAUUGGUUUUAUUUUCUAAUAGCGGUUAGAAUUCGAGAUUUUAAUAAACAUUGAACCGCUCCAUUAUAUGAAAUUGAACUUCUAGGUCUUUUUAGAAAUGGAUAAAUAGAUUUACUAAUUAAACUUUUUAAACUAUUUUUGUUAUUUAAUUUGGUCUUCCGUUGUGUGUAUUUUGAUGGUGCGUACCUUUUUUGUUAGAACAUGUUCGUAUAAACGUAGUCUAUUAAAAUUCUUUCACUUAUAGGCUAGUUCUAAUACAUGAUAUUUCUACACAAUGAUCUAUGAACUUCUCUUAACAUAAAUUUCAUUGAGCAUUUUUCUAACCACGAAACAUACAUGAAGGAGGUUGAGGUUGUGCAUGCGAGAUGCAUCACCAUGUAGGAAAGUUUCGGGAGCUCUUUUAACAAUGCAGGGUCAAAAGUAGUCUCACAUCCAUCAAACUUCAUAACCACGAGUUUUGAACUUGCAAAAAUGUUAAAAUGAAGACUUAUUUUUCCUAGUAAAUGUAGUCCUAAAUAGACAGGAUAAGAGUCAGCAAGCACAACAGUACUGGUGCAUUACAUAUUCCCAGCGAUACGAGUUGUUGUUUGGUCCUAUCUCUUCUUCAACAACUUAAAAAAAAAUAAGUACUAUCAAUCACAUCACCCAGACUCACAAACAGGGCACACCAUAUGAUUUUUAGGAUACCUAGUAUGAGUGAUAAUGGAAAAAAAUAAUAAGCUUCGUAGUAUACUGAUCAAAAUGUUGAAGUACACACAAGAGACCUUCAGCUUCAGAUAACAAUAUGUUGUCUCAGAAAUUAUCUAAUCAAUCAUGUAGAAGCUAAGAAAUUAAAACAAAGAGAAAAAAAUCUCCCUAAAUGUACUAAAAACAUCUCUGAACCUUUCUUCAUAAUCACUCUCAACUUCAAUCCUCCUCAAACCACGUGAUUUUCUGCUACAAAAUAGGACGAGUUGUUCCUUGUGGUGCUACCACAUAACUAACCUGUGAUCGAGCUUGUGUUCAUGAAUAUCUCCACCGCUGAGAUUGAAAGUUGAACGACCUAAUGCUAUGUUAUGUUAGUUCUAUACAAUCCAAGAGCCAUCCAUUGCAGAGCAUCAAAGUUAAAGGGGCCUAUAGAGCUACAAAAUUGAACAAUUUGGACACGCGGUGGCAAAUGGACUAGACAAACAACAGUAUAUAACAUUUUGUGCACUUUUGCAGAAGACUUCUUGGCAUAAAAGCUUGAAUUCACAGGAAAUGUUUCCAUACAAUUUUUUUUUCUGAUUUUGCACACAACGCGUUUGUGAGUGCAUGCGAGAGAAGCAUAAAAAAACAACUUGAUGUCCCUUUAGAGUCAACUUCUUCAACAAGUCACUUUGAAUUUCACAUAAACAAAUUGAAAAAAAUAAAACUACAGUACCACAACCAUUCUCAUCUAUUUAAGUUAUAUUUCCAUUCACUUAGAAUAUAGUGCUACCUCGACUUUAGAUUCAAAUUUCAACAAUUAAGGAAUACUUGAAGAAAACAGUCUAGUAUUUUGUUGGCAUUUCAACACAUACGUGGAUGGCAUAAAGGUUGAGGUGCAAGUGAACAACUUGAACUUCUCCAACGCUAAUGCCAGUUGCAAUAACUUGCAUUACACACACCGUAUGUAUCAGAUUAUUGUGAUUUAGGGGCACAAAAAAGAAAUUUCAUGAACAGGAGAUGAAACUGUAACCGUAGAUCAAUCACCGUUAAUUACUGAUAUGUCUUCAUCGUAUUUACUUUUUCUAAUGCCUUUUCUUUUGUUUUGGACCCUAAUUUGCAUGAUUUGAAUAAAAGUAACCCAGACUAACGCUGUUUUCAGUAGAACUCCCAUGACGUUGUUUUUGUGGAGAAAUAAAAGUUCUCGGAAUUAGACGAAACUUUCUGGAGCAUUUUUGUGGAAUAAAAGAAAAAUACUGGAACCAAGACCUACUAAGAGGGGGGCCCAGACACCCACUAGUCACCAGGAUGCGCCACCCCCUACCGCAGAUUGGUGGGUGGUGGGGCCCUUGGGGCUCCACUGACCCUAACUCUAGCACUAUAAAAUCCUAUAUUUGGAGAAAAAAUAGGAUAGGAAGGUUCAUCAUGUUUCAUGAUAUGGAGCCGCCGCCACCUCAUCUUCUUCAUCGUUGGGCCAAAUCUGGAGUUCUUUUGCGGCUCAAAAGAGGGGAAUCUUUGGUCUUUGUCAUCAUCAACCCUCCUUCAUCGCCAAUUCCAUGAUGCUCUCCACCAGAGUGAGUAAUUCCUUCGUCGGCUUGCUGGUCGGUGAGAAGCUGGAUGAGAUUCAUCAUGUAAUCGAGUUAGUUUCAUUAGGGCUUGAUCCCUGGUAUCCACUAUGUUGGGAGACAGAUGUUGCUAUGACUUUGCCAUGCUUAAUGCUUGUCACUAGGGCCUGAGUGCCAUGAUUUCAGAUCUGAACUAUUUAUGUUUUCACCAUUAUAUCUAUGUUCUUGAUCCGAUCUUGGAACUUAUAUGCAACUACUAUGUGUUAGGAUCCGCAUACCCCAAAGUGACAAUAAUUGGGAUACUUUUCGAUAAUUACCGUAGUAUGAGGAGUUCAUGUAUUCACUAUAUGUUAAUGCUCUGUUCCAGUUCUCUAUUAAAAGUAGGCCUUAAUAUCCCUUAGUUUCCUUAUGGACCCCGCCACCACGGUAGGGUAGGACAAAAGAUGUCAUGGAAGUUCUUCUCGAUAAGCACGUAUGACUAUUUACGGAAUACAUGCCUAAAGUAUAUCGAUGAACGGGAACUAGUUCUGUAUCGCCAUAUGUUACGACUAAUUCAUGAUGAAUAUCAUCCAACAAUAUCACUGAUCGAGUGCCUACGAGUUUUCCACAUAUUGUGCUUGCUAAGUUACUACUGUUGCUACUGUUGUUACAACUGCUACAAAAUUGUUAUCGCUAUUACCAUUAUUGUUGCUACUCUUACCACUUAUAUCAAAACUAUCAUAUUACUGUGCUACUGAUCACUGUGCUGCAGAUACUAAAUCUCCAAGUGUGGUUGAAUUGACAACUCAACUUCUAAUACCUGCAAAUAUUAUUUGGCUCCCCUUGUGUCGAAUCUAUAAAUUUGGGUUGAAUACUCUACCCUCGAAAACUAUUGCGAUCCCAUAUACUUGUGGGUUAUCAAGAAUGUUUUCUGGCACCGUCGCCAAGGAGCAUAGCUAUAAUUGUUGAGUGACUUUGGAUAUCUAUUUAUUGAUCACUAUGAAGAAUCUAAAAGAUACGAGAACCAAGAUCAUUCCCUCUAAGAUGACGGGUGGUAAGGAACUGCCAUCUAGCUUAGCACUUGAUUCACCUUGUGUUUUGAAUAAUCUUGCAACACCACCAUCACAUGCUAUUAAUCCUAAUAUGUUGCAAGUUAUUGUUGAUGUUACCUAUGCUAUGAAUGAUACUAAUGAUGAUGCUAGUACCUUGCUCGAUGAUACUGCACCAUUAGGUGAAUUUCUUGAUGAACAACUUGCUAGAGCUAAAGAAAUUUAACAUGCUAAAACUGAUGAAGUCUCUGAAACUGAAAAUAUUGAAACACCUUUGUGACAUGACUAUCCUAGAAUUAAAAUGCCUGAAGUACAUGAAGGUUAUGUUAUGGAUGAAUAAAUAGCUAGAGACUUUUUUGCUUGUGAGGAUAGAUAAUAUCUUAAGAAACUACUCUGCAAGUAGAAAGAAAAACCCUUGAAUGCUAGAAUGAAAUAUAAUCCUAAGUUUUCUAAUUCACCUAUCUUUGUUACCGAUAAGGAUUAUGAAUUCUCUAUCGACCGAGAGAUAAUUACUUUGGUUAAAUCUGAUCCUUUUCGUGGCUAUGAAAAUUAAACUCUUGUGGCACAUCCCACUAAGUUAAAUGAUAUAACCACCCUAUUUACUCAUGAUGAGAAAAAUCGGUACUACUAUAUUCUAAAAUUAUUUUCGUUCUCAUUGAAGGGUGAUGCUAAGAUUUGGUACAAUACUCUUACUCCUGGUUGUGUGUGUAGUCCCCAGGAUAUGAUUCACUACUUCUCUAAAAAGUAUGUUCCUACUCAUAAGAAACAAGUUGCCUUACAAGAAAUAUUUAACUUUGUGAAUAUUGAAGAAGAGAGUCUCCAACAAGCUUGGGGAGGCUUUUCCAAUUAAUUAAUGCUUUGCGUGAUUAUCCUCUUAAUAAGAAUGAAAUACUUGAUAUAUUUUAUAAUGGACUAACCGAUGCUUUUAGGGACCACUUAGAUAGUUGUGAUGUUUGUGUUAUCAGGGAACAAACUAUCGAACAAGCUGAGGAGUUAUUGACUAAUAUAUUCAAGAAUUGGGACGAAUGGACACUUCCUGAGCCACCACCUAAAUCUACUCCACAGAAGAGGGGUAUCUUAUUCCUUAGUCUUGAAACUAUGCAUGAGGCAAAGAAAUGUAUGAUGGAAAAAAUGCAUUAAAGCUGAAGAUGUUAAGAAUUUACCACCCGUCAAAGAAAUACAUGGUCUCAACACACCACCAUAGGUGGUGGAGGUAAAUUCUCUUUUAAAGUUUGCUGAAGGUGACAUCCCUUACAAUAAACAUCCUAGUCAAUGCUUAUAUGAGUUUGAUAAUUAUAUUAGGAAGCAAGAUCAUUUGAAAAUCCUAUGUUAUGAAACAACUGAGACAAAACUUGGAUAUGAUUGCUCGCUUAAGUGACUUGCUAUUUAGAAUAACCAAUGAUGUAGGAGGUGUAGGAAAACAUGCUCCUAUGGUUCAACUCAACUAGAACAAGUUACUGUUGGAGAACGUUGCCUGGGAAACAAAAAAUUUCCUACGCACACGAAGACCUAUCAUGGUGAUGUCCAUCUACGAGAGGAGAUUUGGAUCUAUGUACCCUUGUAGAUCACACAGCAGGAAGAGUUAAGAAACUCGGUUGAUGUAGUGGAACGUCCUCACGUCCCUCGAUCUGCCCCGCAAACCGUCCCGCGAUCCGUCCCACGAUCCGCUCUGAUCUAGUGCCAAACGGACAACACCUACACAUUCAACACACGUACAGCUCGAUGAUGAUCUCGUCCUUAUUGAUCCAGCAAGCAAGAUGGAGAAGUAGAUGACUUCUCCAGCAGUGUGACAGUGCUCCGGUGGUGGUGAAGGAUCUACUCAUGCAGGGCUCCGCCCGAGGUCCGCAGAAAUACGAUCUAGAGGUAAAACUAUGAUGUCUAGAUCUGAGUUGCACGUGGCAAAAUUUGUCUCAAAUCAUCCCUACAUCACCACUACAUAUAGGAGGGAGGGGGAGGAGGCUUGCCUUGAGGGCCAAGCCCUCAAGUGUGCGCCGGCUAGGGAGGAGGAGGAGUCCUACUCCAAUCCUAGUCCAACUAGGAUUGGAAAGUGGAGUCCUUCUCUGCCUUCCCACCUUUCUUUUUUUCUUUCUCUUUGGUUUUUCUUUCCUUGGCGCUAGGCCCUCUUGGGCUAUUCCACCAGCCCACUAAGGGCUGGUGCGCCACCCCUAGGGCCUUUGGAAUUCCCCCGGGUGGGUUGCCCCCCUCCCCGUGAACAUCCAGAACCCAUUCGUCACUCCCGGUACAAUCCCGGUAAUGCGCGAAAACCUUCGUCUUCGGACCAUUCCAGAAACCCUCGUGACGUCUGUGAUCUCAUCCGGCACUCCAAACAACAUUCGAUAACCACACAUAUAACUCAACCAUACUAAAACAUCGUCGAACCUUAAGUGUGCAGACCCUGCCGGUUCGAGAACUAUGUAGACAUGCCCUGAGGCACUCCUCGGUCAAUAUCCAAUAGCGGGACCUAGAUGCCCAUAUUGUAUCCUACAUAUUCUCCGAAGAUCUUAUCGGUUGAACCUCAGUGUCAAGGAUUCAUAUAAUCCUGUAUGUCAUUCCCUUUGUCCUUCAGUAUGUUACUUGCCCGAGAUUCGAUCGUCGGUAUCCGCAUACCUAUUUCAAUCUCGUUACCGGCAAGUCUGUUUACUUGUUCCAUAAUACAAGAUCCCGUGACUUACACUUAGUCACAUUGCUUGCAAGGCUUGUGUGUGAUGUUGCAUUACCGAGUGGGCCCCGAGAUACCUCUCCGUCACACGGAGUGACAAAUCCCAGUCUUGAUCAAUACUAACUCAACGGACACCUUCGGAGAUACCUGUAGAACACCUUUCUAGUCACCCAGUUACGUUGUGACGUUUGAUGCACACAAGGUAUUCCUCCGGUGCCAGUGAGUUAUAUGAUCUCAUGGUCAUAGGAACAAAUACUUGACACGCAGAAAACUAUAGCAAUAAAACGACACGAUCAAUAUGCUACGUUCAUAGUUUGGGUCUAGUCCAUCACAUGAUUCUCGUGAUGAUGUGAUCCAGUUAUCAAGCAACAACAGUUUGCACAUAGUCAGAAAACCUUGACUAUCCUUGAUAAACUAGCUAGCCAACUAGAGGCUUGCUAGGGACAUUGUUUUGUCUAUGUAUCCACACAUGUAUCUAUGUUUUCAUUCAAUACAAUUAUAGCAUGGAUAAUAAAUGAUUAUCUUUAAACAGUAAAUAUAAUAAUUAUUAUUUAUCAUGGCCUCUAGGGCAUAUUUUCAACAGUUACUAAGUCUCAAAGUGAGCUACUUCAUGAAAUGAAUAAUAAUAUGAAUGAUCAUAAUGUUAGAAUAAUAACUAGAGCAGGAACAAUGACUUCAGAUCCACUAUAUCAAGAAGGUCAUUCUAAAAGACCUGAACAAGAUUCACAAAGAAUUAAUAUUGAUGCACCUAGUCCUUCUGGGAAGAAAAAGAAAAAGAAAAAUUAUACAUACUUCUAAUGAACUUAAAUUAGAUAAACCUUCUCAUAAUGCUAAUUUUACCUCUAUCUCUGAUGCUCAAACUCAAUCUCGUAGUGAACAUUCACCUAGUGAUAGNNNNNNNNNNNNNNNNNNNNNNNNNNNNNNNNNNNNNNNNNNNNNNNNNNNNNNNNNNNNNNNNNNNNNNNNNNNNNNNNNNNNNNNNNNNNNNNNNNNNNNNNNNNNNNNNNNNNNNNNNNNNNNNNNNNNNNNNNNNNNNNNNNNNNNNNNNNNNNNNNNNNNNNNNNNNNNNNNNNNNNNNNNNNNNNNNNNNNNNNNNNNNNNNNNNNNNNNNNNNNNNNNNNNNNNNNNNNNNNNNNNNNNNNNNNNNNNNNNNNNNNNNNNNNNNNNNNNNNNNNNNNNNNNNNNNNNNNNNNNNNNNNNNNNNNNNNNNNNNNNNNNNNNNNNNNNNNNNNNNNNNNNNNNNNNNNCUAUCACUAGGUGAAUGCUCACUUCGAGAUUGAGUUUCAGCAUCACAGAUAGAGAUAUCAUUAGCAUUAAGAGAAGGUUUCUCUAAUUUAGGUUCAUUAGAAGUAUGUAUCAUUUUUCUUUUUCUUUUUCUUCCUAGAAGGACUACGUGCAUCAAUUUUAAUUCUUCGUGAAUCUUGUUGAGUUCUUUUAGGAUGACCUUUUGGAUAUAGUGGAUUUUGAGUCAUUGUUCCUCCUCUAGUCAUUACCCUAACAACAUGAUCAUCCAUAUUAUUAUUCAUUUCGUGAAGUAGCUCACUUUUAGACUUAGCAACUUGUUCUAGUUGACAUUGAACCAUAUAAGCAUGUUUUCCUACACCUCUUACAUCAUUGGUGAUACUAAAUAAGAAGUCACUUAAGCAAGCAAUCAUACCAGAGUUUUGUUUCAAUUGUUUCAUAAUAUAGGAGUUGAAAUGAUAUUGAUUUCUAAUAUAAUUAUUAAACUUAUGUAAGCAUUGACUAGGAUGUUUACUGUAAGGGUUAUCACCUUCAUUAGACUUUAAAAUAGAAUUUACCUCCACCACCUGUGGUGGUGUGCUGAGACCAUGUAUUUCUUUGAUAGGUGGUAAAUUCUUAACAUCUUUAGCUUUAGUGCAUUUUUCCUUCAUACAUUUCUUUGCCUCUUGCAUAGUUUCAGGACUAAGUAAUAAUAUACCCCUCUUCUUUGGAUUAGCUUUAGGCGGUGGUUCACGAAGUGUCCAUUCAUCAUGAUUCUUCAAUAUAUUAGUCAUUAACUCCUCAGUUUGUUUGACAGUUGGUUCCCUGAAAACACAACCAGCACAACUAUCUUGGUGGUCUCUAGAAGCUUUAGUUAAUCCAUUAUAAAAUAUAUCAAGUAUUUUAUUCUUCUUAAGAGGAUGAUCAGAUAAAGUAUUAAGUAACAAGAGAAGCCUCUCC
Molecule: long non-coding RNA, 35989 nt
Filed under: Hordeum vulgare
Lineage: Eukaryota; Viridiplantae; Streptophyta; Magnoliopsida; Poales; Poaceae
Description: long non-coding RNA (HVUL_LNC001049)
Source: RNAcentral